GGGGCUAUAGCUCAGUUGGUAGAGCGCUUCGUUCGCAACGAAGAGGCCAGGGGUUCGAAUCCCCUUAGCUCCA
Molecule: transfer RNA, 73 nt
Filed under: Candidatus Yaniella excrementigallinarum
Lineage: Bacteria; Bacillati; Actinomycetota; Actinomycetes; Micrococcales; Micrococcaceae
Description: tRNA-Ala
Rfam family: tRNA
About the family: Transfer RNA (tRNA) molecules are approximately 80 nucleotides in length. Their secondary structure includes four short double-helical elements and three loops (D, anti-codon, and T loops).
Source: RNAcentral